Molecule: ribosomal RNA, 490 nt
Filed under: uncultured Lachnospiraceae bacterium
Lineage: Bacteria; Bacillati; Bacillota; Clostridia; Lachnospirales; Lachnospiraceae
Description: bacterial SSU rRNA
Rfam family: Bacterial small subunit ribosomal RNA
Source: RNAcentral
AGAGUUUGUAGUCCUGGCUCAGGAUGAACGCUGGCGGCGUGCCUAACACAUGCAAGUCGAACGGACUCAUACUGAAACCUAGUGAUUUAUGAGUUAGUGGCGGACGGGUGAGUAACGCGUGGAUAACCUGCCGUAUACCGGGGGAUAACACUUAGAAAUAGGUGCUAAUACCGCAUGAGCGCACAGCCCCGCAUGGAGCGGUGUGAAAAACUCCGGUGGUAUACGAUGGAUCCGCGUCUGAUUAGCCAGUUGGCGGGGUAACGGCCACCAAAGCGACGAUCAGUAGCCGGCCUGAGAGGGUGAACGGCCACAUUGGGACUGAGACACGGCCCAGACUCCUACGGGAGGCAGCAGUGGGGAAUAUUGCACAAUGGGGGGAAACCCUGAUGCAGCGACGCCGCGUGAGUGAAGAAGUAUCUCGGUAUGUAAAGCUCUAUCAGCAGGAAAGAUAAUGACGGUACCUGACUAAGAAGCCCCGGCUAACUACGUG